CUUUGUGUAACGUUAUAUAAUGUUACUCUUGGCAGUAAAUUUAGAUAGACUAGCGCAUUCCGUUAAUGAGGUGUCUCCACGUUGUUCUUAGCUAGCCUGUGUCUGUCUUAUGCUGCCGGUUUCUUAAACUUAUUUUCUAAACAUUGCUUUCAGGUGAUGACGAUUUCUGUAGUUUUGUUCCCGGAGGUGGAUGACUUUGUGGCAGCAGUUCCACGCCAGGUUGAAUUACAUGUUGAUCUCGUAAUUGCUGCAAUGUUUACUUGGUUUCACCAUAUUUACCUGUUCACCAACUUUUAUGUUUAUUUUUAGGAUGGAGCAAGCACAGUACUCCUAGGCACCAGACAGGUACUCCACGCCACCAUGUAGAGGAUGGCUACAUAGCCCCAGUCCCCGCUCCAGCUCCGCGGCCUGCCCCAGUCCCCGCUCCAGCUCCGCGGCCUGCCCCAGGCCCCGCUCCAGCUCCGCGGCCUGCCCCAGGCCCCGCUCCAGCUCCGCGGCCUGCCCCAGGCCCCGCUCCAAUAUUUUGUUUGUCCUUGUCUUGUCCUUGUAUGGUCUUUCCUGUUCUUGUUUCAGUUGAUUGGUAUGUUCAGUUCACCUGUGUUUAGCCCCCACCUGUUUCUGUUCUCCUCGUUUGUCUGUGUAUUUUGUUCAGCCAUUUUCUCCCUGUCAGUGUAGGUCAUUGUGCUUGUGUGCCUGUUAUGUUUGUGUGCUCCUGAACCAUUGAACCCCUGAACUCUUGAGUAUUUUUGUAGUGCCCGGCACUCCGUUUGGUUUUCUUUGUUUUUGUUAAAUAAAAAGGGGAAACACCUCAAUCUUCUGCGCCUGCCUCCGUCUCCUACUAUACAACGUGACAAUUUCUUAUUUAUUUUUACUGCUGCUAUGUACAGUGUUAUAUAUGAUUGCAUUAUCCUCAAUAUAUGUAUAGCUCUGUGUGAAUUCUGACUGUAGUUGUAGUGUUAUGCCACCAUUCAUAAGCUUAUUGCACUGAUGCAUCUGAUUUUCAAUAACUAUUGAUUGCUGCUAGGUCAUACUUAUAUAUAUUACUGACAUUCCAGCCCUUGUUUAUUUUGUAUUGUAUUAUGUUUAUUUUGUACUUUCACAUUCAAAUACUGUAGUUUUACUAUCUGUUUCUAGACACGUUUUCUAGCACUUUGAUUUUGUAACAUUUUUAUUUCAAUUCAUUUGCACAUGUUUAUUUUGUAUGCUUG
Long non-coding RNA from Esox lucius (northern pike), 1208 nucleotides. The record is from Ensembl. Lineage: Eukaryota; Metazoa; Chordata; Actinopteri; Esociformes; Esocidae.